UGCAAGGGGACCGAAAACACUAAUUUCGCCACAACAAAACGAAACUCUUCACGUGACGACCGUUUAUUUCAAUUACUUAAAGCAACAAAGAUCGCCCAUUCACAAGCUGAUUACCUGAGAACAAACGGCACGGACACGUUGCAAUCGCCUGCGACGAACAGUCCCCCAAAUGAAAAACCGGGGUCAGUUUGCGAAUAAUUCCGUUGCCAAGUAUAAAAUAAUGGGCAUGUUGGAGAAGUAAGGACGUGAACCCGUAGAAACACUGGCGCUGUCGUAGCUGGAUACUUGCGUUCGGUCACGAUCGCCUUCGGGGGAACACUGAUGGAUCGAAGAACUAAAACGGAUUUAAAACGUUCAAUUCGCUCG
This is a long non-coding RNA of Photinus pyralis (common eastern firefly), 366 nucleotides long. RefSeq lists it as uncharacterized. NCBI's taxonomy places the organism in Eukaryota, Metazoa, Arthropoda, Insecta, Coleoptera, Lampyridae. The record is from RefSeq and is a predicted model, not a curated record. The transcript has 3 exons.